UGCAAGUCGAGGGGCAGCACGAAUAGCAAUAUUUGGUGGCGACCGGCAAACGGGUGCGGAACACGUACGCAACCUUCCUUUAAGUGGGGAAUAGCCCGGGGAAACCCGGAUUAAUACCCCGUAACAUUAUGAGGUGGCAUCACUUUAUAAUUAUAGAUUCAUCGCUUAAAGGUGGACGUGCGCCUGAUUAGGUAGUUGGCGGAGUAAUAGCCCACCAAGCCUGCGAUCAGUAACUGGUGUGAGAGCACGACCAGUCACACGGGCACUGAGACACGGGCCCGACUCCUACGGGAGGCAGCAGUAAGGAAUAUUGGUCAAUGGACGCAAGUCUGAACCAGCCAUGCCGCGUGGAGGAUGAAGGUCCUCUGGAUUGUAAACUUCUUUUAUUUGGGAAGAAAUGCAUUUUUUCUAAAGUGCUUGACGGUACCAGAUGAAUAAGCACCGGCUAACUCCGUGCCAGCAGCCGCGGUAAUACGUAGGGUGCAAGCGUUAAUCGGAAUUACUGGGCGUAAAGCGUACGCAGGCGGCUUUGCAAGACAGGUGUGAAAUCCCCGGGCCUAACCUGGGAACUGCAUUUGUGACUGCAUGGCUAGAGUUUGUCAGAGGGGGGUGGAAUUCCACGUGUAGCAGUGAGAUGCGUAGAUAUGUGGAGGAACACCGAUGGCGAAGGCAGCCCCCUGGGAUGUGACUGACGCUCAUGUACGAAAGCGUGGGGAGCAAACAGGAUUAGAUACCCUGGUAGUCCACGCCCUAAACGAUGUCGACUAGUUGUCGGAGGGUAACUCCUUCGGUAACGCAGCUAACGCGUGAAGUCGACCGCCUGGGGAGUACGGUCGCAAGAUUAAACUCAAAGGAAUUGACGGGGACCCGCACAAGCGGUGGAUGAUGNGGAUUAUUCGAUGCACCGCGAAAA
This 913-nucleotide ribosomal RNA is filed under the name uncultured bacterium. Its description in RNAcentral is "bacterial SSU rRNA". It matches the Rfam family "Bacterial small subunit ribosomal RNA", at positions 56 to 967 of the family's 1533-position model. The record is from RNAcentral.